Ictidomys tridecemlineatus (thirteen-lined ground squirrel) is the source of this 106-nucleotide non-coding RNA. Lineage: Eukaryota; Metazoa; Chordata; Mammalia; Rodentia; Sciuridae. The record is from Rfam.
GUCAGGAUGGCCGAGUGGUCUAAGGCGCCAGACUCAAGCUCUCGCUUCCCUCCUCGGGGUUUCUGGUCUCCGCAUGGAGGCGUGGGUUCGAAUCCCACUUCUGACA